Molecule: ribosomal RNA, 500 nt
Filed under: uncultured bacterium
Lineage: Bacteria
Description: partial 16S ribosomal RNA
Rfam family: Bacterial small subunit ribosomal RNA
Source: RNAcentral
AUUGAACGCUGGCGGCAGGCUUAACACAUGCAAGUCGAGCGGGGGAAGGUAGCUUGCUACCGGACCUAGCGGCGGACGGGUGAGUAAUGCUUAGGAAUCUGCCUAUUAGUGGGGGACGACAUCUCGAAAGGGAUGCUAAUACCGCAUACGUCCUACGGGAGAAAGCAGGGGAUCUUCGGACCUUGCGCUAAUAGAUGAGCCUAAGUCGGAUUAGCUAGUUGGUGGGGUAAAGGCCUACCAAGGCGACGAUCUGUAGCGGGUCUGAGAGGAUGAUCCGCCACACUGGGACUGAGACACGGCCCAGACUCCUGCGGGAGGCAGCAGUGGGGAAUAUUGGACAAUGGGGGGAACCCUGAUCAGCCAUGCCGCGUGUGUGAAGAAGGCCUUAUGGUUGUAAAGCACUUUAAGCGAGGAGGAGGCUACUUUAGUUAAUACCUAGAGAUAGUGGACGUUACUCGCAGAAUAAGCACCGGCUAACUCUGUGCCAGCAGCCGCCGUAA